GACGAACGCUGGCGGCGUGCCUAAUACAUGCAAGUCGAACGCAGUGGGGACGGGUGAGUAACACGUGGGUAACCUCCCAUCAGAGGGGAUAACACUUGGAAACAGGUGCUAAACCGAUACUGAUGGAUGGACCCGCGGUGCUUUAGCUAGUUGGUGGGGUAACGGCUCACCAAGGCCACGAUGCAUAGCCGGUCGGAGAGGAGGAUCGGCCACACUGGGACUGAGACACGGCCCAGACUCCUACGGGAGGCAGCAGUGGGGAAUCUUCCGCAAUGGACGAAAGUCUGACCGAGCAACGCCGCGUGAGUGAAGAAGGUUUUAGGGUCGUAAAACACUGUUGGUAGAGAAGCGGUAUCUAACCAGAAAGCCACGGCUAACUACGUGCCAGCAGCCGCGGUAAUUC
Molecule: ribosomal RNA, 403 nt
Filed under: uncultured bacterium
Lineage: Bacteria
Description: partial 16S ribosomal RNA
Rfam family: Bacterial small subunit ribosomal RNA
Source: RNAcentral